This 468-nucleotide ribosomal RNA is filed under the name uncultured bacterium. RNAcentral's name for it is "partial 16S ribosomal RNA". It matches the Rfam family "Bacterial small subunit ribosomal RNA", at positions 28 to 507 of the family's 1533-position model. The record is from RNAcentral.
GACGAACGCUGGCGGCGUGCUUAACACAUGCCAGUCGAACGGAAAGGCCCUGCUUUUGUGGUGUGCUCGAGUGGCGAACGGGUGAGUAACACGUGAGUAACCUGCCCUUGACUUUGGGAUAACUUCAGGACACUGGGGCUAAUACCGGAUAGGAGCUCCUGCUGCGUGGUGGGGGUUGGAAAGUUUCGGCGGUUGGGGAAGGCCUCGCGGCUUAUCAGCUUGUGGGUGGGGUAGUGGCUUACCAGGGCCUUGGCGGGUAGCCGUCCUGAGAGGGUGGCCGGCCACAUUGGGACUGUGAUACGGCCCAGACUCCUACGGGAGGCAGCGGUGGGGAAUAUUGCACAAGGGGCGGAAGCCUGAUGCAGCAACGCCGCGUGCGGGAUGACGGCCUUCGGGUUGUAAACCGCUUGCGCCUGUGACGAAGCGGGAGUGACGGUAAUGGGUAAAGAAGCACCGGCUAACUACGUG